UACGAAGGGGGCGAGCGUUGUUCGGAUUUACUGGGCGUAAAGGGCGCGCAGGCGGCUAUUUUUGUCAGGCGUGAAAGCCCCGGGCUUAACCUGGGAACAGCGCUUGAGACGGGAUGGCUAGAGAUCGGGAGAGGAGAGUGGAAUUCCCAGUGUAGAGGUGAAAUGCGUAGAUAUUGGGAAGAACACCGGUGGCGAAGGCGACUCACUGGCCAGUUUCUGACGCUGCAGCGCGAAAGCGUGGGGAUCAAACAGG
This 253-nucleotide ribosomal RNA is filed under the name uncultured bacterium. RNAcentral describes it as "partial 16S ribosomal RNA". It matches the Rfam family "Bacterial small subunit ribosomal RNA", at positions 524 to 776 of the family's 1533-position model. The record is from RNAcentral.